This 305-nucleotide ribosomal RNA is filed under the name uncultured bacterium. Its description in RNAcentral is "bacterial SSU rRNA". It matches the Rfam family "Bacterial small subunit ribosomal RNA", at positions 338 to 641 of the family's 1533-position model. The record is from RNAcentral.
CCUACGGGAGGCAGCAGUGAGGAAUAUUGGUCAAUGGGCGGGAGCCUGAACCAGCCAAGCCGCGUGAAGGAAGAAGGCGCCAAGCGUCGUAAACUUCUUUUGUCGGGGAACAAAGGGCGCCACGUGUGGUGUUGUGAGUGUACCCGAAGAAAAAGCAUCGGCUAACUCCGUGCCAGCAGCCGCGGUAAUACGGAGGAUGCGAGCGUUAUCCGGAUUUAUUGGGUUUAAAGGGUGCGUAGGCGGUUUAUCAAGUCAGCGGUAAAAUCGUGGAGCUCAACUCCAUCCAGCCGUUGAAACUGAUGAUC